GAGUUGCGGGAAGCCUCCGCCUGCGGAGAGGUACGGGAGCGGAGAGCCCAGCGAGAGGGGCUUCUGCGUGCCCGCUUGCUUCGGGCGCUGGCGUGACCGCUGCAGUUGCCGCAUCUUAACCAAGAGACUCUGCAAAGGAUUGUAUCUACUCUAGCGAACAAAAAUGAUGAAAUUCACAACUUCAUUGACAUGCUGAACCAUACCAUAAAAAAUGUUCAGGUAAACUCUUCUAAUGUAAUCAGCGAGUUGGAUGAAGAAUUUGAUGGUCUGUAUUCUAUACUGGAUGAGAUGAAGGGGAGUAUGGCCAACGCUAUUCAGCAAGAAGAGGCUCAUAAAAUUCAAGCUCUGCAGGUAACUAUAACUACAUCUGUAAAUCUUUGGUGCUGAGUAGAAGCAGUUUUAAACUGCUAUUUUAAAUCUCAACUGAAAGUGAGAUUUUGGUAGUGUUGCAAGAAAUGCAGUAAGUAUAUGGUAAAUGUUUUCUUUGAUGUAAGUGCUUCUC
RNAcentral lists this long non-coding RNA (502 nucleotides) under Buteo japonicus. Its description in RNAcentral is "lncRNA (ENSBJAG00000003318.1)". The record is from RNAcentral. Lineage: Eukaryota; Metazoa; Chordata; Aves; Accipitriformes; Accipitridae.